GCCUCAGGGAAGGGGAAGGAGGCCGCGGUUUCGCGUCCCGCCUCUAGCCUGGCUGGCCAUGGGGGCCUGGACGCAGUGGCCUCCCGAAUCCCCCAGGAAUCUUAAUGUCGCCAGAGGAUGCUGGGAGGAACACUGAGCCGACCUCUCCGUUAGGCUGAAGAUUGCACAAACCAUGAUAAUGGCCAGCAUGGAUGGAGGGAGCGUGUGAGAUGUGCGGGGCAGUGUGCUACGUCUCAGCCAACUCUAGGAGAUGGAACAAAGUCUGUUUGUGAAAACACCCUUCCCCUCUGUUUACUUGGACCUGAUUUUGAAAGUAGCAAGUCACUUUAUUUGGGCUGGAGGAAAAAGCACUAAACCAGAUGUUGAGGUGACCGGGAUUCCUGGAAGACAUUCUCCUUCUCUCCAACGAGAUGCAUGAUGCAUGAAGUAGGAGCCCCUGGCAAGGAGCCCAGGCCGCCAUGGUCUCGCUCACUCAUGCUUCCCGGCACGGCCCCGAGGCUAGCUGCCUCUGUACUGCCUGAGCAUCAUCCCCUGGCGUGUCACCAGACUACCCACUACCUGUGCUUGCACCUGCGGGUGGGCAGUUCAGUCGUUGCAGGCUGAAGCUCCCUGUCACAGGAGUCCAUCAGCACUGGAGUUUACCAAAUGGCCCAGUCCAGGAAGCAUGGUCAUGGCAAUACCUGGAGUCUCCACUGCAAGACCAGAGUGAUGGAGGCAGCAGAGCUCCUCAGCAGACCAGGAGUCUCC
This 747-nucleotide long non-coding RNA is filed under the name Pongo abelii (Sumatran orangutan). RNAcentral describes it as "lincRNA". Lineage: Eukaryota; Metazoa; Chordata; Mammalia; Primates; Hominidae. The record is from RNAcentral.